Molecule: ribosomal RNA, 962 nt
Filed under: Listeria monocytogenes
Lineage: Bacteria; Bacillati; Bacillota; Bacilli; Caryophanales; Listeriaceae
Description: partial 23S ribosomal RNA
Rfam family: Bacterial large subunit ribosomal RNA
Source: RNAcentral
GGUUAAGUUAGAAAGGGCGCACGGUGGAUGCCUUGGCACUAGGAGCCGAAGAAGGACGGGACUAACACCGAUAUGCUUUGGGGAGCUGUACGUAAGCGUUGAUCCAGAGAUUUCCGAAUGGGGGAACCCACUAUCUUUAGUCGGAUAGUAUCCUUACGUGAAUACAUAGCGUGAGGAAGGCAGACCCAGGGAACUGAAACAUCUAAGUACCUGGAGGAAGAGAAAGAAAAAUCGAUUUCCUGAGUAGCGGCGAGCGAAACGGAAAGAGCCCAAACCAAGAAGCUUGCUUCUUGGGGUUGUAGGACACUCUAUACGGAGUUACAAAAGAAAGUUAUAAAUGAAGCGGUCUGGAAAGGCCCGCCAAAGACGGUAACAGCCCGGUAGUUGAAAUAGCUUUCCCUCCAGAGUGGAUCCUGAGUACGGCGGAACACGUGAAAUUCCGUCGGAAUCCGGGAGGACCAUCUCCCAAGGCUAAAUACUCCCUAGUGACCGAUAGUGAACCAGUACCGUGAGGGAAAGGUGAAAAGCACCCCGGAAGGGGAGUGAAACAGUUCCUGAAACCGUGUGCCUACAAGUAGUUAGAGCCCGUUAAUGGGUGAUAGCGUGCCUUUUGUAGAAUGAACCGGCGAGUUACGAUUUGUUGCAAGGUUAAGCGGAAAAAGCGGAGCCGUAGCGAAAGCGAGUCUGAAUAGGGCGCAUAAGUAACAGGUCGUAGACCCGAAACCAGGUGAUCUACCCAUGUCCAGGAUGAAGGUAAGGUAAUACUUACUGGAGGUCCGAACCCACGCACGUUGAAAAGUGCGGGGAUGAGGUGUGGGUAGCGGAGAAAUUCCAAUCGAACUUGGAGAUAGCUGGUUCUCUCCGAAAUAGCUUUAGGGCUAGCCUCGAGGUAAAGAGUCAUGGAGGUAGAGCACUGUUUGGACUAGGGGCCCUUCUCGGGUUACCGAAUUCAGAUAAACUCC